GCAGUGAUGACUAUCUUAGGACACC
Molecule: non-coding RNA, 25 nt
Filed under: Cricetulus griseus (Chinese hamster)
Lineage: Eukaryota; Metazoa; Chordata; Mammalia; Rodentia; Cricetidae
Also listed under: 1 other name
Source: RNAcentral